UCCACGCGUUAAUCGGAAAUACAGGCCGUAAAGCGUGCCCAGGCGGUUGAGCAAGACCGAUGUGAAUUCCCCCGGCUUAACCUGGGAAUUGCAUUGGUGACUGCACGGCUAGAGGGUGUCAGAGGGAGGUAGGAUUCCUCGUAUCGCAGUGAAAUGCGUAGAGAUGUGGAGGAAUACCGAUGGGGAAGGCAGCCUCCUGGGAUAACACUGUCGCUCAUGCACGAAACCGUGGAAAGCAAACAGGAUUAGAUACCCUGGUAGUCCACGCCCUAAACGAUGUACACUAGGUGAAGGGGAUCCAUUUCCUUAGUAACGAAGCUAACGCGUGAAGUUGACCGCCUGGGGAGUACGGUCGCAAGAUUAAAACUAAAAGGAAUUGAUGGGGACCCGCAGAAGCGCUGGAUGAUGUGGAUUAAUUCGAUGCAACCGGAAAAACCUUACCUACCCUUGACAUGGGACUAACGAAGCAGAGAUGCAUUAGGUGGUCGAAAGAGAAAGUGGACUCACGUGCUGCUUGGCUGUCGUCAGCUCGUGUCGUGUGAUGUUGGGUUAAGUCCCCCAACGAGAGCAAGGCUUGUCUCUAGUUGCUACGAAAGGCGACUCUAGAGAGACUGCCGGUGACAAACCGGAGGAAGGAGGGGAUGACGUCAAGUGGUGAUGGCCCUUAUGGGUAGGGCUUCCCACGUCAUACAAUGGUGCAUACAGAGGGUUGCCAAGCCGCGAGGUGGAGCUAAUCCCAGAAAAUGCAUAGUAGUCCGGAUCGUCGUCUGCAACUCGACUACAUCAAGCUCCAAUCGCUAGU
RNAcentral lists this ribosomal RNA (802 nucleotides) under Ralstonia solanacearum. RNAcentral's name for it is "bacterial SSU rRNA". It matches the Rfam family "Bacterial small subunit ribosomal RNA", at positions 533 to 1339 of the family's 1533-position model. The record is from RNAcentral. Lineage: Bacteria; Pseudomonadati; Pseudomonadota; Betaproteobacteria; Burkholderiales; Burkholderiaceae.